Molecule: unclassified non-coding RNA, 269 nt
Filed under: Hevea brasiliensis (rubber tree)
Lineage: Eukaryota; Viridiplantae; Streptophyta; Magnoliopsida; Malpighiales; Euphorbiaceae
Source: RNAcentral
CAUUCUGUGUGAUUCUUUUGUAUAUUCCUUUGAUUUUUGGCCUUCAUUUUCAAUCAGUCUUCUGUCUUCUUUGGUUUUACUUACAUAAGGAUUACAGAUAGGUGUUGGAUGAGAGGUUGUUUAUGGUGUGCCCUCCUCCUUCCUGUACUAGUCAUAAACAAAAUUCCAAACUUUCUAGGAAUAUACAAAAGAAUCACACAGAAUGAUUCAAAGGUGUCGGUGGCUGAAUCAAUCAAGAGUCAGAAUCUGUUGUAACAGUUGAACUAGUC